RNAcentral lists this ribosomal RNA (487 nucleotides) under uncultured Alphaproteobacteria bacterium. Its description in RNAcentral is "bacterial SSU rRNA". It matches the Rfam family "Bacterial small subunit ribosomal RNA", at positions 9 to 529 of the family's 1533-position model. The record is from RNAcentral. Lineage: Bacteria; Pseudomonadati; Pseudomonadota; Alphaproteobacteria.
GAGUUUGAUCGUGGCUCAGAACGAACGCUGGCGGCAUGCCUAACACAUGCAAGUCGAACGGGAUCCGGACUUCGGUCCGGUGAGAGUGGCGGACGGGUGAGUAACGCGUGGGAACCUGCCCAAUGGUCUGGGAUAACCGCGGGAAACUGCGGCUAAUACCGGAUAAGCCCGAGAGGGGAAAGAUUUAUCGCCGAUGGAGGGGCCCGCGUCCGAUUAGGUAGUUGGUGAGGUAACGGCUCACCAAGCCGACGAUCGGUAGCUGGUCUGAGAGGAUGAUCAGCCACACUGGGACUGAGAUACGGCCCAGACUCCUACGGGAGGCAGCAGUGGGGAAUAUUGGACAAUGGGGGCAACCCUGAUCCAGCAAUGCCGCGUGAGUGAUGAAGGCCUUAGGGUUGUAAAGCUCUUUUGGCGGGGACGAUGAUGACGGUACCCGCAGAAUAAGCCCCGGCUAACUUCGUGCCAGCCGCCGCCUCCAAGGCACACA